This 73-nucleotide transfer RNA is filed under the name Candidatus Peribacteria bacterium. RNAcentral's name for it is "tRNA-Lys". It matches the Rfam family "tRNA". Rfam says of the family: Transfer RNA (tRNA) molecules are approximately 80 nucleotides in length. Their secondary structure includes four short double-helical elements and three loops (D, anti-codon, and T loops). Further hydrogen bonds mediate the characteristic L-shaped molecular structure. tRNAs have two regions of fundamental functional importance: the anti-codon, which is responsible for specific mRNA codon recognition, and the 3' end, to which the tRNAs corresponding amino acid is attached (by aminoacyl-tRNA synthetases). tRNAs cope with the degeneracy of the genetic code in two manners: having more than one tRNA (with a specific anti-codon) for a particular amino acid; and 'wobble' base-pairing, i.e. permitting non-standard base-pairing at the 3rd anti-codon position. The record is from RNAcentral. Lineage: Bacteria; Candidatus Peregrinibacteriota; Candidatus Peribacteria.
GGGCGAAUAGCUUAGUCGGUAGAGCAGAUCCCUCUUAAGGAUAAGGUCCUGGGUUCGAAUCCCAGUUCGCCCA